AUUCGCCUAGUAUAUCAGUACAAGUGACUUCCAAUCACUAAGUUUUAGACAUCAACUAAAGACGAAUA
RNAcentral lists this transfer RNA (68 nucleotides) under Chelodina longicollis. RNAcentral describes it as "tRNA-Gly". The record is from RNAcentral. Lineage: Eukaryota; Metazoa; Chordata; Testudines; Chelidae. RNAcentral also lists the same sequence under 3 other names.